RNAcentral lists this non-coding RNA (24 nucleotides) under Arabidopsis thaliana (thale cress). Lineage: Eukaryota; Viridiplantae; Streptophyta; Magnoliopsida; Brassicales; Brassicaceae. The record is from RNAcentral.
UCCCAAACCCUCUUGCCUCUUGCA